RNAcentral lists this ribosomal RNA (382 nucleotides) under Tuber sp. 36 GB-2010. RNAcentral's name for it is "eukaryotic LSU rRNA". The stretch from base 1 to 123 matches the Rfam family "5.8S ribosomal RNA", at positions 32 to 154 of the family's 154-position model. Lineage: Eukaryota; Fungi; Ascomycota; Pezizomycetes; Pezizales; Tuberaceae. The record is from RNAcentral.
AUCGAUGAAGAACGCAGCGAAAUGCGAUAAGUAAUGUGAAUUGCAGAAUUCAGUGAAUCAUCGAAUCUUUGAACGCACAUUGCGCCCUUUGGUAUUCCAUAGGGCAUGCCUGUUCGAGCGUCACUAACAACCCCAUCACAAAAGAGUGUGGUAUUGGCAGAAGUGGGUAGGGCUAGCAGUGCUGGCCCCACUCUGCUGGAAUGAAUAGGCCGGAAAUGUAGACCAUGGUAACAGACUUUCAGAGUAUUUUGCAAUGCUAAAUUAGUUUGUAGGCUUGGUCAGAAUCUAGGCCAUUUGGACCCCCAUUCUGCGUAAAGCAGUAAAUGUUGACCUCGGAUCAGGUAGGGAUACCCGCUGAACUUAAGCAUAUCAAUAAGCGGAG